RNAcentral lists this ribosomal RNA (234 nucleotides) under uncultured bacterium. Its description in RNAcentral is "partial 16S ribosomal RNA". It matches the Rfam family "Bacterial small subunit ribosomal RNA", at positions 100 to 334 of the family's 1533-position model. The record is from RNAcentral.
CGGGACGGGUGAGUAAUGUCUAGGGAAACUGCCUGAGGGAGGGGGAUAACUACUGGAAACGGUAGCUAAUACCGCAUAACGUCGCAAGACCAAAGAGGGGGACCUUAGGGCCUCUUGCCAUCGGAUGUGCCCAGAUGGGAUUAGCUAGUAGGUGGGGUAACGGCUCACCUAGGCGACGAUCCCUAGCUGGUCUGAGAGGAUGACCAGCCACACUGGAACUGAGACACGGUCCAG